Molecule: long non-coding RNA, 203 nt
Filed under: Lathyrus oleraceus (garden pea)
Lineage: Eukaryota; Viridiplantae; Streptophyta; Magnoliopsida; Fabales; Fabaceae
Description: Pisum sativum (pea) long non-coding RNA (PSAT_LNC026730)
Source: RNAcentral
CGAGACAGUAGCUGACUUUUCUAUUCUGUUUUUUUUUUAUGUUUUAUCAUAGCCAUGCAUUAUUCAUCCUAUCCUAUUUAUUGUUGUGAUAUUUCUCGGUGUAAUCUUCGAUUGCACCCUGAUUUGGUGUUCUGACAUGUUUCUUUUUUUGAGUUUCGUAAAGGUUCACAUAUCCCAGGAAAAGGUUAUUGGCUAGGUAUUCC